AUUGAACGCUGGCGGCAUGCUUUACACAUGCAAGUCGAACGGUAACAGGCCUUCGGGUGCUGACGAGUGGCGGACGGGUGAGUAAUGCAUCGGAACGUACCCAGAGGUGGGGGAUAACGCAGCGAAAGCUGUGCUAAUACCGCAUGUGAUCUGAGGAUGAAAGCGGGGGACCGAGCAGCAAUGUUUGGCCUCGCGCCUUUGGAGCGGCCGAUGUCGGAUUAGCUAGUUGGUGGGGUAAAGGCCUACCAAGGCGACGAUCCGUAGCUGGUCUGAGAGGACGACCAGCCACACUGGGACUGAGACACGGCCCAGACUCCUACGGGAGGCAGCAGUGGGGAAUGUUGGACAAUGGGCGGAAGCCUGAUCCAGCAAUGCCGCGUGCGGGAAGAAGGCCUUCGGGUUGUAAACCGCUUUUGGCAGGAACGAAACGGUGUCCGCUAAUACCGGGCGCUAAUGACGGUACCUGCAGAAUAAGCACCGGCUAACUACGUG
RNAcentral lists this ribosomal RNA (492 nucleotides) under uncultured bacterium. RNAcentral describes it as "partial 16S ribosomal RNA". It matches the Rfam family "Bacterial small subunit ribosomal RNA", at positions 29 to 507 of the family's 1533-position model. The record is from RNAcentral.